ACUCCUACGGGAGGCAGCAGUAGGGAAUCUUCCACAAUGGGCGCAAGCCUGAUGGAGCAACACCGCGUGAGUGAAGAAGGGUUUCGGCUCGUAAAGCUCUGUUGUUAAAGAAGAACACGUAUGAGAGUAACUGUUCAUACGUUGACGGUAUUUAACCAGAAAGUCACGGCUAACUACGUGCCAGCAGCCGCGGUAAUACGUAGGUGGCAAGCGUUAUCCGGAUUUAUUGGGCGUAAAGAGAGUGCAGGCGGUUUUCUAAGUCUGAUGUGAAAGCCUUCGGCUUAACCGGAGAAGUGCAUCGGAAACUGGAUAACUUGAGUGCAGAAGAGGUAGUGGAACUCCAUGUGUAGCGGUGGAAUGCGUAGAUAUAUGGAAGAACACCAGUGGCGAAGCGGCUACCUGGUCUGCAACUGACGCUGAGACUCGAAAGCAUGGGUAGCGAACAGGAUUAGAUACCCCUGGUAGGAUAGCG
RNAcentral lists this ribosomal RNA (472 nucleotides) under uncultured bacterium. RNAcentral describes it as "bacterial SSU rRNA". It matches the Rfam family "Bacterial small subunit ribosomal RNA", at positions 335 to 801 of the family's 1533-position model. The record is from RNAcentral.